GAAGACCAAGUCAAUCUACUUUGUAAUCUCAUCAAUCUUAAUUUUUUCAGUUGUUUAGGGAGUUCAAAUGAAAUACAAAAUUUUGAAAAAAAAAUGUAUCCAAUUUUGUGAAUGAAAAAUUUAUGGUAAAAAGGAUUUGGUAUGGAUACUUCAGCCCGGGUAGCAAUACUCAGGGUAAGUUUAUCAAUACAUUGCUUUUGGUUGGAAAGUGGUGUUGAUAGGUUAUGGAUGCGGGGUAGUGUUUGGAAUGGCCAAAAUAUAGCAAUCGCAUCAGUGGAUGAAGAAGGAUCUAGUUGGUGCAAAUGAAGUUAAAGCAUUUCUGCCGUCUCUUCAUAAUUUCUUGUUUGGUAGUCUGUCAGAAAGUUUUUCCUAUGGUGAAAAGUUUGAGUUGCAUUUAUAAAAUUUCCACUGUCAAAAGAUUCGAUUGCACUGCAGGGUAACAUAUUUAAGAUUGGAUUACACUGUCAAAAGAUUGCAGCAACGAUGAGAUUAAUCCAAUUACAGGAAUUGGUAUCCUAAAUGGCUUUUUGGUACGUAGCUUCAUUGACGGUACAAACUAGUUAAAAUUUCCAGCAUUCAUGUGUUUGUUUUCCCUCAAGUAAACGUAGUCAAUACUGCAAAUGGUGUGGAAGUACUGUACAUUGUGGCCCAAAUGUCCAAAAUUUCCACAUUGCAUGUAAAUUAAGUUUGCGUGAGAGAGAUAGGAGGAAGCAACAGCAAGUGUGAAGUCAAUAGACAACUGAUAGUCUUAGUCUUUUUUUGUCGAGUUAAAGUGUAGUCAAUAGACAAUUGAUAGUCUUAGCCCUUUUUGUGGAGUUAAAAGUAUAGUCAAUAAACAAUUGAUAGUUAAAUUUGUAGCAUUCUUCUUCCUCUUUAUUCUUUUGUGUGGAAAAUUAUUUGGGACCAAACUUGACGUGUUAUAAGGAAGAAGACUUUGUAAUCUCAUGAAUGUUAAUUAUUUUACUUCUUUGGUAAAAAAAGUAACCAAUUUUAUGAAUGAAAAAUAUUAUGUGGUAAAAAGGAAGUAGUUGUUCAUCACUAACAAUAUGAUGAUUGUGGAAAUACAAAAAAUCCCAUAUAUGUGUUGAAUUCUGCAUAAUAUAAAUGUCCUGCAUUGCAUGUGAAUUCUGCAAUAGACCAAACUUUACGUGUUAUAGUCCUUUAAACUGAGUUAAUGAAAAGUAACCAUUCUUAUCAAAUUUAGUUAUACUCUUAAUUUAUAACAAAGGAAAGAGUAAUUUGAGUUUAACUCAAAGGUUAAUAUGUCAUCAAUGGGUGAUGGCGUGGCGCUACCAUGUCAGCGAUUAUUUUCUUCUUUGAAUUAAGGUGAUUUCACCAAUUUUAGUUUACUUUUUUACUUCAAUUUAGGUUUAUGCUUAUUAGCUUCAAAGAUUCUAAGUGGGUGCCACAAUCAAAGGGUGAGUAAAAAGGGUUAAAAAUGAUUUUUUUAAAAUUUUUUAUUUUUAUUAAAAAUUUAGAAUUAGAAUUAGACAAAUUUUGUAAAAGUUAAGGGCUAACUUUAUUGAUUUUUUUUUUCAGAAUUCGAACUAAAAUUACAUUUUGUAAAAAGAGCUAAAUUUGUUGAGUUUUUUAUAUUUAGGAUCAAAUUGAUAGAAUGUGUAAAUAUUAGAGGUUAAAUUUGUUAUUAGAUCAAUAAAAAAACCCACAUUAGCUUUGCGUCACUCAUCUAACGACAACUAAAGGGAGAGUUAUUAAAAUAUUUAAUUUCAAAAAGUUUAGCAACUAAAUUGGAAAAUUUAAUAGUUGGGUGACUAUUUUUGCAGUUUACUACUUUUUUGGUCACCUGACUAUUAAGUGACACUUUUUAGUUGGUAUAAUAAUAAUUUUAGUCCUCAAUUUUUAUACUUUCUGUCAAUUUGACUCUGAUUAUAUAAAAUGAUUACAAAAGUGAAAUUCUUUUUAAAAUUUACAAAAUUCUAAAAAUUAAAAAUUAAAUGAAAGUAGAUAAAAAUUUCAAAUAUAAACAAAGUGAGAGAAAAUGAGGGAAAUAUUAUUUUUAAACCCUCCAACUUUUCUUUGUAUUAUCGUAAAGAAAUAUCUAAUAUCCAUUCUUUUAGAAAACAUAGAAAAAAGUAAAAAAAAAAAAGAUUAAGUAAAAUUAUCUGUAUAUAAUCUGCUUUUAUAAUUUGGGUUUUUAAAAAUAAAUUUAAAUGAAUUGAAAAUUCGAAUUGAGUUUGAAAAAUAAAAUUUUGUGGUAUAUUUUAUAUUUUUGCUAGAAAAAUGGCAUCAAAGUUGAUUUUGUAAGCUUUUGUAAUAUCAGUUACGGAUGUUCUUCAAGGGCAUGGAACUCAACUUGAAAAUUUUACUAAUUUGGUUGCAAAAAAACAUUGAGGAAGCAUAUAAUGAUCUAACCUUUUUUGUUUUGUUUUGUUUUUAAUUUGUUAUGGGAUUCUAUUGAAUGAUAAUUUUUUUUUAUUUCCCAUACAUAUUAGUUCUUCAAAAACAACAUAUUCGAGAUUUUAUUUUUCUAGAAUUUUUAUAUAGAAGUUUAUAUUUUUUAAAAUAAAUUUGAGUUUUUUUUAGAAUUUUUAUAUAGAAUCGAGGUAAAUUGGCAAAAAAAAUUAUAAAAACAAAAUACUAAAAUUGUUAUUAUAGCAACUAAAAAGUGUCAUUUAACAAUAGGGUGACCAAAUUGUAACUUUUUUAGUUAAGUGACCAAAACGAAGAUUUACCCAUAGUUUAGUGGCUAAUUAUGUAGUUUACCCUUUCAUAAUUAAAAAAUAGUUGUUAAGUUUUUCUUGUAUUAGAUAACAAUUUAGAUGGUAAAAACCCUCUUUAGUCCCUCUCAAUUUUGAUAUUAAGUAAAAUUGUCCAUUUAAAAAAAAAAUCAAAGCAAUUUAAUAUUUGUUAAUUUCGAAAGUGAGCAACUAAGGACAAUUAAUCACAAUGUCAAUAUUUUCCAUCAAUUGUACAUAUUUUUAUUGGUGUAAUAACAAAUUUAGCUCUCAAAGUUUACACAUUCUGUCAAUUUAGUCUUGAUUUAACAAAUUUAACCCGCAACAAUUACAUAUUCUAUUAACAUUGACACAUAAUAUAUAAACAUUGAGAGCUUAAUUUUUUAUUGUAUCAAUAAAAAUUAUGUACAAUUUACAUAAAGCAUUAACACAAUGAUUAAUUGUCCUUAGUUGCUCCCUUUCAAAAUUGAUCAUGAUUAAAUUGCUCUAAUUUUCUGAGAGGAACCAAUUUGUUCAAUAUAGAAAUUGAGAGGGACGAGAAAUGUGUUUUUUAUCCAUUUUAGAUACCAACAAGUGUUUGGCAUAGUCGCAAGACAUAUUACAUUCUCAAGGAGAGAAUGCGUAGUCAAACGUUGGAGAUAUCAAUGUUGUGUGGGGUAUCCAAGGAUCUCGAACACGAACUGUAAAACAUAUAUAAAGAAUAAAAAAAUAACAUCUUAAUUUAAAUAAUUAUAAAUUUUAAUUUGAAAAAAGUAUUUUGAGAAACAUAAGUUUUAGAAGUAGUAAAAUUGAAUCGAUAAAACAUGUCCAUUAUAUCAGAAUCAUAAAAAUACAACUUAAUUAAUUUGAAUUUAAACUUAACUCAACUCGACUUGAUUAUAAAAACUGAUAAUUUGAAUUCAAAAUGACAUGAUCUUGAAAUGAUUUGAAUUAAUUGUCAGACCCGAACGACAAAACUCGAAAUGAUGCAAUCCAAAAACACAAAUCAAGUGAACUAAACUACGAAAAAAAAAACCUUACACUGACUCAAAUCCAAAAUAGUUUAAUCCUAAAAUAACCUAAAUUUUAUAUAAUAAAAACUCGAAAUAACCCGAAAAUUUUUAAAUUAAAAUUGAUCCGACCCAAAUUCACACCACCUAAAAUCAAUCGUAACCACCUAAUUAAAAAGCAUGAAAUGAAAUGAUGUAAAGAGAAAAUCAGAGAAAACCAAAUAGAAAGUAACAAGCCUUUUUCAGAAUUGAAAGCAAAUUCCGUACAUUCACGACAUGCAUAAAACAACAAUGGUUUAUAGAAUUUGAGUUUUAGUCCCUGUACUUUAAAAGUUAAUUUUUCUUAAUUUAAAAACUUUAGUUUAAUCAUUUAUGUUGGUUGUAGUUUCCGUUAGCUUAAUCAACAUGUUAAAUUACUAAAUUUUGACAAAAAAUACUUACGAGUUUAAUGAUUGUACCGAGAUUUUUAAAUAAAAAAGUCGGAAGACUAAUUUCUAACCUUUUAAAUAUAGGGACUAAAAGCAUCUUUUAACUUUGAUAUUAUUAUUAUAAGCAGGGAUAAUGUCACCUUUGGCAUCUGUACUUUCAUAAAAUGUCUAGUGGUACAAGUACUUUGAAAAUAUAUAAUGUGGUACCUGAACUAUCAAUAGGUGUUAUUAUUAUGGUACAUGUACUUUGAAAAUGUUUAAUGUGGUACCUAAACUAUCAAUAUAUAUUUUAUUAUGAUACUUGAUAAAGACGGACUAUGGUGGCUUAGGGGGCUCUUUGUCCCGCCACCCUUGCAAAAAAAAAAAAAAUCGAAGAAUUUUGUUUUUUCCUUUAAAAUUUUUAGAAAAUUUCAAUUAGGCCCUCAAAAUUUUUGAAAAUUUUCAUUAUACCUUUUAAUUUUUUUGAAAAUUUUAAUUAAGCACUCUUAAAUUUUGAAAAUUCUCAUUGAUCUCACAAAAAUUUUAAAAUUUUUUAUUAGACCCCCAAUUUUUUUAAAAAAAAUCUUAUUAAACCAUUAAAUUUUUAGCAAAUUUUACCUGCCCCCUCCCCCCCAAAAAAACCUAGUCCCAACUACUAGUAUCCGCCAUUGUUACUUGGUAUUAACACUGUUAGAAAAUUGCUAAAUCAACCAAUAAAAAUUUGACACAUAGAACCCUUUUUUUAAUUAUCAAGUCCACGUGGAUAAUAUAAUAGUGAAAAAAUAAAUAAAAAAUAAUUAAAUGAAAUUAAAAAACAAAUAACUAAACAUAUGGUUAAUAAAAAAAAACCCAUACUUUCAAAGAUAAUAAAAAAUAUUAUUUAAAAAUCAAUUGAAAAUAUUAUUUUAAAAGGAAAACUCUUUGAAGAAGAUGAUCAUUUGCUUAAAUGGAGAAUAUAAUAUUUUUGGUUAUGUAAGUUUAGUAUUUACUUCUUUUUUAUUAAUCAUAUGUUUAGUUUUUUUUUUAAUUAAUUUAAUUGUUUUAUUUAGUUUUUCACAUAAUGUUAUUUUACACAUGCGGACUUGAUGAAUUAGAAAAAAAAUAUUAUGUGUCAAAUUUUCAUUGGUUGGUCUAAUAAUUCAUUAACGGUGGAUUUGUUCUACAUUGAUGACAAAGAUGUGGAGUUUAAAGAAGUAAGAACUUAUCAACAAUAUUCGAGGUUCUGUUAUAUGUUACCUUAUUAAAAAAGUCAUCACUUAAAUUCUUCUAUGUUGCCUUAUGUAUGUAGGUUCUUGAGUCACCUUUGCCAAAAGCACCGCUUGAUACAUCUGUUACAUCCCACUGGCUUGCGAUUGAAGGCAUUCAACCAGCAAUUCCAGAAAAUGCUUCAAUUGAAGGUACCGUCUUAGCUAACCUAAAUAUUCUCUCGAAGCUAUUUGUGUUGAAGACUCUCAUGGUUCAUGUUCUUUUCUGGUUUUAUCACUUUAAUCUAAUACGACUUAUCGUCAUUUCUACACGGAAUUUGUAUUUUGCUUUCCAUGCAGCACCUUCUGAUGGUAAAAAGGCUGAAUACAAAAAAGAUGGGCUUUCCGUUGAUGUCAAAUUACCUGUUAAGCAUGUAUUAUCUAGAGAGCUUCAAGUAUGUUGUACAUCUUCAGCAACAUUUUUCUGUUAAAAUACAUUUUGCACAGAAUGAUAUUAAAAGACUAAUUUGGUUGUCAUGCAGCUUUACUUUGACAAGAUCGUGGACAUUACCAUGAAUAAAUCAGUCUCAAUUCUCUUUAAACAAGCAUUACUGAGUUUGGCAACAGACUCGGGAUUACAUCCUUUAGUUCCUUAUUUUACAUAUUUUUGCGGAUAUCUCAUACCUGAUUAUAUAUGUGUGUUGCAAAGAACUUUUGGUUGGUUAUCUCGAGCUUACAUUUUUGCCACAUUUAUCUCAGGUUGCACGGAGUAAUUUCCCUCUCAUGUUUGCUUUGAUGCGUGUUGCCCGGAGUCUUCUCCAGAAUGAACACUUACACAUAGAACCUUACUUGAGUUUAUUAUUUCAAUCAUUUAGAAGUACACGAACUAAUGCAAAUAUGCUAGUGGUUUAUUUUCCACCUAUCUGAUUUUUUAAAAUGUUCUUCAGUUACACCAGUUGAUGCCAUCUAUUAUUACCUGCCUCGUUGCAAAAAGGUUAGGAAAUAAAUUCACCGACAAUCAUUGGGAACUUAGAAACUUCGCAGCAAAGCUAGUGGCAUCAUUAUGCAAAAGGUGAGGAUUUCUUUUCUUUUGGACUUAUACAUGCAUAUUCGUUUUUAUGAAUCUCAGGUGUCUGAUUUUUUAGUUAUAAACUUGGAUCUAUUCUUCAAAUCAUGUGUAUAUCAUUUUUAUGCUAUUUCACACAUGCAAAACAAAUGGUGCGAGCGUGCAUGUUAUAUGCAGAAUGCAUAGAUUAAUUACAUGUGGAUCAUUAAGCAUGCCUAUGUUUGACCAUUGUGUGUGGCUACUUUUUUUUACAUGAUCCAAUUUUCGAUAUGCUUUGCUUUUAGGUUGAAUGCGGAAAAGAUUAGAACUUAGUUUCCAGCAUAAUGAUUUGUCUUGGAUAUGCAGAUUUUUACAUGCAUUUCUUACAAGUCAAUAUUUUAUAGAUUUGGGCAUGUUUAUCACAAUCUUCAGCCACGUGUGACAAGGACACUGCUCCAUGCUUUUUUGGACCCAACGAAAACAUUUCCCCAGCAUUACGGAGCAAUUCAAGGGUUAGCAGCCCUUGGACCCAGUGUGGUAUAAUUCUAAUCUCAAAUAUUUACUAGCAACACAAUAAGAUACUUGUUUGUGGGAUCAACUGGUCAAAGAUAUUGCAAUGAUAGCCAUCUUUUUAAGCCCAUUUCUUUCAGAAAACUGUUUUGUCACUCUUUUCUGCAAGAUCCGAAGAAAGAAAGAACUUGGAAAUCUAUAGUCCAAAAGUGUAAAUAUGCGGUUUCUCUAUAGGUAUCUUUAUUAUGGCAUCUGUACAGUUUGUCUUUCAUAUGUUUGGCUAACGCUUCUUCUUCCAUGUGUAGGUUCGUUUACUUAUACUACCAAAUCUUGAAGCGUAUUUGCAGCUUCUUGAACCUGAAAUAAAAAGACACGAGGCCUGGUGUGUUUAUGGGGCCCUGCUGGUAAGUUCCACAUCAAAUUUGGUACCAGUUUAUGAGCAUCGUUUCAUUUAUUUGCUGUAGAACUAACAACACUGCAUAAAAUUUCCACUAACAGCGUGCAGCUGGACUGUGCAUGUAUGAUCGGCUUAAAAUGUUCCCCAGUUUGCUAGCACCCCCAACUCGUCCCGUUUGGAAAAGCAACAACAAAGUUGCGACAAGUAUGAUUUCUUCGAACCAUCAUAUUUACACUUAAUCCACAAGUCUCUUCUCCCCCUUUACGAUAUUCCUUUUUCUGAUCAACCAAGAUAAACGAAAAGCAAGCACGGACACCUUGAUGCAGCAGCAACAACCUGCCAAGAAAAUAGCAACUGAGAGUGCAAUAGGUAUGAUGCCAAUAAAUUCCAUGCAAGCUGAUUUACAAGGGUCAGUUAGCGGCUUUUCUACCACCGUAGGAGGUUCCAAUAUCGGUGUAUCAUCAAUGUCACGGCCGUUAUCAAACUAUAACAUGCUUGGAAGGGAGGCUGGGGGUCGAGUUUCAAAGACAUCAACCGUUCUAGCUCAGGCUUGGAAGGAAGACACAGACGCAGGGAACUUGUUAGCAUCAUUAUUUGAACUUUUUGGUGAAAGUAUGUUAUCAUUUACUCCCAAACCUGAGCUUUCAUUCUUCCUUUGAUUGAAUUUCACCUCCAAAAGCUAUAGUUUUUGAAGGAAUUUGUGUAAAUUAUCCCCAUAGUUUUUUUCAGUCUUACUGUGUUUAUCUUUAUAAGUCUUCUUUUUUUCCUUGCUCAUAAAUGUAUUGUAGUUAUCAGAAAAUAUAUUCUACUUUGGAUUUUGUUUAUAUUAAAUUUUAGGUUAAAUUCUGCUAUUAGUCUCUGUAUUUACGAAAAUGAUGGAUUUAGUCCUUAUACCUUAAUUUGAUCAAUUUUAGUCAUUGUAUUUUUUGAAUUGGUCAAUUUUAAACUAUUUACUUUUUGAAGUUUGAAAUUUUAGUCUUGAUCCAAAUAAUAAUAAUAAUUAAAUCUGCUUAUUUAAAUUCAAUUAUUAGUUUUGUAUUAUGUAGAUAGUUAUAAAUUUAGGGUGGGUUUGGAUGGGCUGUGCUUUUACCUGCAGUUAGUGUAAAAAUAGCGGCGGUGGUGAGAUUAGAUAUCCAAGGUACCUAAUUUUUAUUUUGGCCAUAAGUACUACUAAAACUAUUCUUCCGUUACCCAUUUUAUACCAAAAUGUUAUAUCGGCUAAAAAGAUUCCAACAAAUAAUAGAUUGUAUGUCAUAUAAACUUUUUUAAAAAAUCAUUAAUUAAUUAAUUUUUAUAUUUUUCUUUCUUAUUCCUUUAUAAUGUUUGACAAUGUCGAUAAUGCUUGAAAUUGGCCCACUUGAGGUCGAAACGCUGGUGAUUAAUUUUGGUUUUGAAUUUCACCACCUACUUCUCUGACCAGAGGGGAUAGAAAAAGUUCUUUCAUCGAUCAAAACUAGUAUUUUCAAAAACAGACUGAUUCUACGGGUUGGAUAGGAAAUCGGUUUGGAAAUAGGGGUUGAAUCGAUUGACUUGCGAGCAAAAACAAAUCGGUUGAACUAAGCUAAAAAAACUGGUUGAAUAAGUUCUCUCUUUUUAUAUAUAUAUAAAUAAUAAUAGGCUUUGUUUUUACUACAUGUCAAUUUUUAAUUGGUUAAUUUUUUUUUCAUAUAAAUUGAACAAUUUGACUAAUGACGGAGGUACCAAAUUAUAGUCUAGGUACCAAUUUAUGGGUUAAGCCUAUUUAUAAAAUAGACUUUUGACAGUUUGACUAAUGGCGGUAGUAACUUGGGAAAAAAAAGUAGUUUAUGUACCACUUGUGACAAAAAAUAAGAUUAGGUACCAACAUGGGAAAAUGAGUAUAAUUUAGAUACCGAUUUAUGAGUUAAGCCUAAUAUAUUUGUCGCAUAAUUUUUUGAAAAUAACAGAACUUAAUAAAUUUAACGGUUAUUGUUUGGUGAUUACUAAAAUUUUAAAAUUUGAAAAGUACAUGAACUAAAAAUGACCAAAUUAAAAUAUAAAUAUUAAGUCCACAACUUUUGCAAAGUACAAGGACUAAUUGCAGAAAUUAACCUAAAUUUCAUAUGGGUCAAUUACAAAAAUAAUCACUAAACUAUCCCUUUGGUUCUAUUCUAGUCACUCAACUAUAUAGGUGCUCAUGAGCUUGGCCAGGUCAGGCCUAAGUAAGGGUGAGCAUUCGAUUGAAUCGAAAAUAGGGUUUGGGAUAGAUGGGAGGGGAAUAAAAGUUUUAGGGGAAAAGUGGGAGGGAGUAAAAAUUUUGGGAGAAAAUAAAAGGUUUUGAGGGUUUUGGGGAGUAAAAUAUUGAGAAAAAAUAAAUAGGAGAGUAAAAUUUUGGUGGGAAAUGGAUUUUGGGUAGAUUGGGGGGUUGGGAGGGGAGGGGAGUAAAAGUUUUGGGGGGAAAGUGGGAAGGAGUAAAAGUUUUGAGGGAAAAGUAAAAAAGUUUGGGAGUUUGGGGUAAAAAUGUAAAAUAUUAUAGUUUGAUAUUCGAAUUAUUCGAAUUAUUCGAGUUAUUCGAAUUCGAAAACUCAACUCGAUUCGAACUCGAAAUUCGAAAAAAAAUUCGAGUUGAUUCGAAUAACUCGAUUCGUUUAACUCGAAAUUUGAAUUUUUUUCAAUUUUUUCGAGUCGAAUCGAGUUUUGCUCACCCCUAGUUGCAAGUGCAACUUGCGUGGUGGCUGCCAGAAGGACUGAAUCGUAAAUGUAGCAAAAGUUUUGGGGCAAAAAUGUAAUUUUGAGAAAGUUUAGGGUCAAAAUAUAAUUUUAAAAAAUAUUAAGGGUUAAAAUAUAAUUUUAUAAAAAUUUAAGGGUCAAAAUGAAAUUUUAGAAAAGUUCAGAGGUCAAAAUACAAUUUUUAAAUUUUUUUUAAAAAAAAAAACACGAAAUUAUUCCCACAAAAUUAAGUGAUUACACGUAACUUUUCAAUGUAAAAGAAAAAAAAGACUGUAACACCAAUGUUGUGGUGUUAUUUGUUGCCUAUAAAUACCAUUCCUAUUCUUCAUCUUCCUCUGCAAACAUAACAUGGCCCCCUAUCUCUUUCUCUGCCUAUUCCUCUUCUUUCCCCGUCUUUAUGCUUCUUUUUCUUCUUCAGGAUAUCAGUCCUGCUCUUCAUUAAUCCAGUUUAAGGACUCUUUUUCCAUAACAGAGGAUGCUUCUUCUGAUUGCAAUGAGAUUGCUGGCCUUAAAUCUUAUCCCAAGACAAAUUCAUGGAAGGAGGGUACAGAUUGCUGCUCAUGGGAUGGGGUCACUUGUGACCACCUAAAUGCUCAUGUUAUUGCCCUUGACUUGAGCUGCAGUUGGCUAUAUGGCAACUUCCCUUCCAAUACCACUCUCUUCCUUCUUCCUCACCUUCAAAAACUCAACCUUGCCUACAAUGAUUUUAAUCUUUCCAAAAUUCCAUCCGAGUUCGGUCGGUUUACAAGCCUAUUCUACCUCAACCUUUCCCAUACAGAGUUUGAAGGAGAAGUCCCAUCCCAAGUCUCCCACCUGUCAAAAUUGGUUUCACUUGAUCUCUCCUCUCGGAUUGAUUACUCUGGGCAAGUUACAAUUGACAAACAUGCUCUGGAGGGACUUGUUCACAACCUAACCGAGGUCAGACAUCUGUUUUUGGAUGGAAUGGACAUGUCUUCUGUUAAUGCUCAUGUCUUCAUGAAUCUAUCCUCUUCUCUAAGGUCUCUCAGUCUUGCUUAUUGUGAUUUGCAAGGAAAAUUCCUAAAAAACAUUAUUGAUUUGCCAAACCUCAAUCUCCUCAACUUGGGACGUAACCAAAACCUCAAUCUUGAUCCUUUGAAGUUCAAUCGGAGCAGCAAUCUCGAACAUUUGGAUCUGUCGUGGAUGUCCUUCUCUACAGAAUCCGUUAAUUCAGUUGAUAAUCUACAGGCCUUAAAGUACUUAGAUCUAUCAGGAAAUUCUUUCUUUCAAGGAUUGUCUGUCUCAAUCACAAAUUUAUCAUCUUUGGAGCAAUUGAUAAUUUCAGGCGCAAAUUUUUUUGGAGGAUUGCCUGACUCGAUGGGGAAUCUUGUGUCCUUGAAGUUUUUAUUUCUCUCCGAUUCCAACUUUUCAGGACCGCUUCCAAGAUCACUGGGAAACCUCUUUCAACUCAAGUGUUUAGACUUGAGAUCAAACAAAUUGAGUGGACAAAUUCCAUUGUCAAUUCUAAACCUAACGCAGUUGGAAUACUUGGAAAUAUCUGAAAAUUCUUUAGAAGGUUCCAUUCCAGAUGAGGUAACCGCUUUUCCUAAUCUAAUAUAUUUAUACUUAUCUGACAAUUUACUCAGUGGAACACUUCCGUCAUGGUUGUAUACUGCUCCCUCAUUAGACAGUAUAGGUCUCUCUCAAAAUCAAUUCAGUGGGCAUAUCAAAGAAUUCCAAUCCAAAUCACUAGAAUUGAUAGCGUUAGAGAGUAAUAAACUCCAAGGUCCUCUUCCAUCUUCAAAAUUCCAACUUCUCAAUCUUACCCACCUCUCUUUAUCCUCAAGUAAUCUCAGUGGUGUCAUAGAGUUUCGCAUGUUCUCAAACCUUCCAAAUCUAAAACUUCUUGACCUUUCAUACAACAGCCUAUCCUUAGCAUCUAAUACUACUUCUUGUGUUAACCAUAUAUUGCCUAAUCUUACAGACUUACGUUUGUCAUCUUGCAAUCUUAGUGAAUUCCCCCAAUUUUUGAAAGGGCUUAAAAGUUUGAAAAGGUUAGACCUCUCUUGCAACAAAAUUGAAGGCAAGAUUCCACAGUGGAUGCAAGAGGUGGGGAAUGGCUCUUUGACUUACUUAAACGUAUCUCACAACUAUUUGACAGAAGUUGAGCACUUUCCACGGAAGAAUAUUGAAGUUCUUGACUUAAGCUCCAAUUUGAUCAGUGGAAAUCUUCCGAUUCCAGCUUCGACCAUCAAUGUCUUUUUGAUCUCAAAUAAUAGUUUCAAUGGAGAGGUCUCUUCUUUAAUAUGCAAUGCCAGUUAUCUUAAAAUUCUUGAUUUGUCCCACAAUAACUUGAGUGGAACAAUUCCGCAAUGUUUUGGAAAUUUGAGCAACAGCCUUCAAUUCUUGAAUCUGAAGAAGAACAAGUUCUAUGGGACGAUUCCUCCAACAUUUGCAGAGGGAUGCCAAUUGACUAAUUUCAACAUAAAUGGAAAUCUGUUAGAAGGGCCUUUGACACCAUCCAUCCUUAAUUGUAAUGAACUGGAAGUGCUAGAUCUUGGUAACAACAAGAUCAAUGAUACAUUUCCUCAUUGGUUGGGCAGUCUUCCAUUUUUGCAAGUUCUUGUAUUGAAGUCAAAUCAUAUGCAUGGUUCCUUGCGUGUCAAUAGCUCCAAGUCUAGCCCUUUUUUCUCUAAAAUCCAAAUUUUUGAUCUCUCGAGUAAUUAUUUUUCUGGACCUCUACCUGUGAGAUACAUCAACAGCUUCAAGGCUAUCAUAAAUCUAGAUAAGAUUGGGAGUACAAUGUCGUACAUGGGGGUGUAUGCUCAGAGAGGUAGUGGCUUCUAUACCUAUUCCAUUGGAAUUGUUAUGAAAGGACAAGAUAUGGAAUUGGUGAAAAUUUUCACCAUGUGGAUGAUCAUUGAUCUAUCAAACAAUCAGUUUGAAGGGUGUAUUCCAGAGGUUUUUGGGAAGCUUAACUUACUGAAAGGGCUCAACCUUUCUCAUAACAACCUUCAUGGUGGUAUCCCCACCUCAAUAGGGAAUUUGACAAGUCUUGAAUGGUUGGACCUAUCUUCAAACAGGUUGUCUGGGACGAUUCCAAAUAGAUUGGCAGAUCUGGCAUUUCUUUCGUCCUUCAAUGUUUCUGAUAAUCAGCUCCAUGGUCAGAUUCCUCAAGGCAAACAGUUCAACACAUUUGGAAAUGAUUCAUAUGAAGGAAACAAGGGAUUAUGUGGAUUUCCAGUCUCGAAAGGUUGCAACAUCAUUGAGCCACCACCUCCAAAUGUGCUUGAAAAAGAUGGCUCAAAAUCAAACAUUACUUUUGGUUGGAAAGUGGUGUUGAUAGGUUAUGGAUGCGGAGUGGUGUUGGGAAUGUCCGUGGGAUAUGUUGUUUUCCAAACUGGUAAGCCGAAAUGGUUGGUGAAUUUGGUUGAAAUCCAACAUGAGAAGAAGCAAAGACGAAAGUCAAAGAAAGGCAAUCGAAGCAAUAGACGAAGAAGGAUCUAAGUACAGCAAAUGAUGUUCAAGAAUUAGUGUUGUAUUUUCAAAAUUUCUUGUUCUGUAGACCGUUUUGCCCAUGGUGAAGGGUUGCAUUGGUAUGUGUAUGUCUUUAUUAUUGUACCAAUUCCUGUCUUUCAUUGCAUUUCGUACUAUCUGUAAUGGUUUGUUUGAGUGUAACAUUUUGUAUGGUAUUGUUGUUUAUGUCUUCUUUCAUGACUUUCCAUUUAGUCUCGAUAAUCUUUGCUACUGCUCAGUAAAGGAGGAAGGAGAAUAAAAUGUCUCAAUUUAUGUCAAUUUAUGCUUGCAGAUUUGACGUGGAAUGUUGUUGAACUGAAGGUUGUUUAACUUUUGUCUUCUAAGCUAUACAUGAACAUAUGGGAUGUGACAAAUAUUAUUUUAGCUUUUGCUUAUGAAAUGUUGAAAUAGUGAGUUUAUAUUCCUUGAUUAAUAAAAAGUGAGAUGGAGAUAGUCAAACCUCAAUUUCCACAUUGAAAUUGAAUCCAAACAUUAAUUGGUGGAUCACAUGUCUUGUAUUCUGUCAAGUUAAAGGGAGUGAAUAGAGCACCAUUCUUCUUCUGCGUGGAAAAUAAGUUGGCGUUAUGCCAAUUUUCACAUUCAUACAUAUAAAGGAAGCAAGACCAAGUCAAUAUACUUUGUAAUCUCAUCAUUUCUUCUUCAUUCUUUAGGGAGUUCAAAUGAAAUACAAAUUUUUGGUAAAUCAACUCUUCUUUUUUAUGAAUAAAAAUUAUAUGGUAAAAAGGAAGUGGUGUUAAUAAUAAUAAUAAUAAUAAUAAUAACAACAACAAUACAAAACUAAUAAAGCAAUUUAGUCUAUGAUUUGCACAAUGAUUAAUGUAGCGACCUAAAAAUUUAGGCACGAGCGCUAAUUGAAGUGAUUAUUGAAAAUUUGAAAACAGAAUCUCGAUUUUAUUUGAAAAAGGAGUCGCUAUCGAUCUUUUUUUCUAGGUGUGAUCGGACACCUAAUAAAUUCUCUUUUUAGAAGAAAAAUUUAUUUUUAAAUUUUUCUAAAAAUAGGUAAUUUUUCUAAAAAAUUUAGGGGUCAAAAUGUAAUUUUUUAUUUUUUGAAUUUUUUUUGAAAUUUAAAAAAAUAUAUAUAUAUAAACACGACAAAACCCGGACAAAAUUUAGUGCUUACAAUUAAUACCUAAUUUGAUCCUUGAAUUAUAGUUCAAAAAGUAUUUUUAUAUUUUUAAAUUUUCAUAAAAAUAAUUGUAUCAAAAUUUAAAAAUCUUAAAAAUAAAUACAAAUUUUAUAUAAAAAAUCAAUUGGCCCAAGAAAAAAAAUUUACCAACUAAAUUUUCCAUAUCCAAACUCAUAAAUAAUUCUUCUUUGAACUUUCACAAAAAAAUAUUAAAUACCCUUUCACUUUAUCAUUAUAAAUAUAAUAUACAUUUUUUUCCUUCUUUUUCAUGUAGAUCAGCUUCAACUCUACUAUUCUUAGAUCAUUAUAAAUAUAAUAUAUGUUUUAUUUACAGCUGAAAGUAAAACCUUGAGUUGAAAUUUGGCAGAAAAAAUUGUGGGUUUGGAGAAGAAGAAGAGCACUUUGUAUUUAAAUUUAAAAAAUCAAAAAUUUCAAAACUGAAAGUUACUCAAAACCCUAAACAAUCUAAUAAUUGGAGUUAUAGAAAAGAAAUAUGAGUUUAGAAAUAAAUAAAACAAAAUAAAUUUGCAAAACAAUUUCUAGGCAAAACAACAUGAAGUUGUUGAUGUGAUUGAAGGUGUUCUUCAACGGUGGAAAACAAAUAGAAUUUAAUUUGAAAAUUUUAAGAUUUUUUAAAUAAUAAAAAAUUGCAUUAGUUUAAAAACUUUAGUUUUAAUUUUAAGAUAUUUUUAGAUUUAUACAUAUUUAAUUAUUUUUAGAUUUUUUAGAUUUAAAUGAAGUUACAAUUAUUUUUGAAAACGGUACCUCUACAUUUUUGAAGGUACAAGGAAAUAAAAUAUGGAUUUGGUAUCGAUACUUCGGCCCGAGUAUCAAUGCUCGAGGUAAGUUUAUUGAUACCUUGCGAAAGGUACCAAUAAUUUUUUUAUAUUUUGAUAUUUGGUAAGAAACAUAAUGUUAGUUUGGUAUCGAUUUUCCAUGAGAUAUCAAUACCACUUAAAGAAAAUAUCGAUAGCCCUAGGACAGUAUCAAUACCUAUGUAACAGUUUUAGAAAUUUUGCAACUGGGCCCAUUUGUAGGUUUGAUUGAUGUUUUUAAUACCCUUAGUGUAUGUAUGGCAUGUUUUAAUGAUAAGAAGUGGUUGAACGACUACAACUCAUACGUAGGAUUGAAUAAAGAUGAUGAUUGGUUACUUGUGAAAUUGUUUGCUAAGUAAAUGAUGCAUGAUGGUGGUGUAACAUCCUAAUAUUUCGGCUUGGCGACUGAGCCGAGUAUAGGGUGUUACAAUGUGUUCCACAAGUUUCAUCAGCAAUCCUCAAUGCAUCUAAUUAAUUGGGAAAAUUGAGAAAAUAGAAAUGGUCAAGAAGAUGUAACAUGAUGAGUACCUCUUUGCACCGUCAAGAAUUUUAGUAAGUCUCCAAAUUCAUUCAUUAACCCUCCUUCCUGUUAAAUAUUUAUCAUUAAUUUUAUUAAAUUAAAACAUAAAUUUUUAUAAAUCUAAAGUGUAAUUUAUGAGCCGGGUUAUUCAAUCCAAAAAAAAAAAAUCAGCCAAGACUCUUUGGACAAAUUGCUUGAGUAAAACCAGAAAAUGAAUAACAAUUUUGAUGGAUUUUGAUUACAAAUGAAUUGAGGCAUAAUGCCAUUACAUAUACCAUGCAUUCAGCUGGUCAAAAUGAGACAGACAUCACCUAAUCAUCAACCUAACUCCACUAAGUAGCCUUGAAACUUAUGAAAACAUAACUUGCACACAUAGGUACGCUGAUUUAUCAAUCUAUCAGCACCUAAUUACAUCAAACAUGUUACCAACUUAGUUCAAAUCAAACUAAGCAAGAAAACAUUAACUUAAAGUAACAAAAAAUGAACAGCAGCAUGAACUUCAGCUGCAACUGCAUGGCUGGAGCAGCUCUGCUUCUUGUCUGCAUGCCGGCCAACUUCAACAAGAUCUGAGUAAGGCUAAUUUGUCCAGAAGUUGCAUCAUGCAAAACUAUUUAAUGGCUUUUAGGUAGCUUUGUCAACGGCAAAAAAAAUGAGAAAAUUAGUCAAAUUUCUUCCAUUUUUAUCUUUAAAAAUUUGGUUUUGUGCGUCAACAUGAAGUACAUGUGGCACGUACAUGCAAACUGUCUGAUUAUUUAGACAUCUACACUAGUUUUUAAAGGUAAAAAUAGAAGAAAAUUUUAAUAAACAAGACCAAUUAACUCUUUUAUCUAGCAUACAAGAAUUAUUCUAUACAUCUUUCAAUAAAUGGGGAAAAUUACAUCCACACAUUCUCCACAUUUCAGACCUGUAAUUCUAGCCAAUUGGUCACAAGCAUACAUGUCCCAUUUCAAUAUUCAAAGGUCUGCUUUGAUUAUUUUAUUUUGUGUUCUGUUGUCGCCCCAAAAUAGUUCCACUUGGCACAUCUCCAUACAUUUCAAACAUACCAAAAAUCUGCUGGCAAGCAAUACAAGACAAGUUCCAGCCACUUCAACAUUUGGCUCCUGUUCAUUGCCAAAAGAAAAAAAUAAACAUUUUUUAUAUUUAAUUGAAGGUCAAAAACACAUAAAAAGACAACCGGACAGCUAGUAUUUCAUCCAAUCUUCACAACAUGUCUGUGUGCGUGCAGAUCCUUCACUUCCCAGAAGCCUUUAGCGCGUAUUCUAUUAUAAAAUCACAGAUUACUAUUUAAAUGAUAAAUAAAUUAUUUAAAGUAUGAAAAUAUACAUGUUUUUUUUUAUUGGCUUAAGGGCGUAAAAAAUCCUUAAAUUUUUUUUUUAAAAAAGACAAUUAAAUUUCUCCUUUUUUUACACUCAAUUGAGCACUUAAAGUUUUAAAAUGCAUCAAAAAUACUCUCAAACUUCUUCCGAAAAAACAAUUAAAUCCUUAUUUUCUUUCCCACUCAAUUGGGUGCUUGAACUUUUUCAUAAUAUUUUUUUGGGCGAUUUAAUGAACCAUACAAGUUUCAAGGCUAAAAGAGGCAAAAGAAAAAGAAAAAGAAAAAGAAGCUAAAAUGACUUUUUGUUUGUAAAGUCAAAAAAUACCAAAUAAAUCAUUAUGUCUUUUUAGUUUUAAUUUUUUACUUGAUUAAAAGAGAAAUAAUUAACGAAUGAAAAAUAGCUAUUCCUAAAUAAAUUUAUCAGAAUUUAUAACAAAUGAGAUUUUAGAUUUGAAGUAUGAGGUUAUAUAUAUUAUAUAAGUAUACCUGUUUUUAUGGAAUCGGUGGAUUAUAUUUUCGACAGUCUUCUUCCCCAAGCGUAGUGAAUAGAGCACAAUUUUGUUCUUUUGGAUGGAAAAGAAUUUCUACAUUAAUUAGAUUUGGUUGACAGGCAAAUGAAUAGAUACACACAUUUUUUACGUGUUAUUAAGGAAGAAGACUAAGUCAAUCUACUUUGUAAUCUCAUCAAUCUUAAUUUUUUUAGUUGUUUAGGGAGUUCAAAUGAAAUACAAGAUUUUGCUAUAAAAAAAAAAAGCAUCCAAUUUUAAGAAUGAAAAAUAUACGGUAAAAAGAAGACUAAUGGUUGUUGAUGAUUGUGAAAAAUACAAAAAUUAUUUGUUGCCUAUAAAUACCAUUCCUAUCCUUCAUCUUCCUCUACAAACAUAACAUGGCCUCCUAUCUCUUUCUCUGCCUAUUCCUCUUCUUUCCCCAUCUUUAUGCUUCUUUUUCUUCUUCAGGAUCUCACUCCUGCUCUUCGCUAAUCCAGUUCAAGAAUUCUUUUUCCAUCACUCAGACAGAUGUUGCUUCUUCUUAUUGCGAUGAUCAAUCUUAUCCCAAGACAGAUUCAUGGAAGGAGGGUACAGAUUGCUGCUCAUGGGAUGGGGUCACUUGUGACCACCUAAAUGCUCGUGUUAUUGUCCUUGACUUGAGUUGCAGUUGGCUAUAUGGCAACUUCCCUUCCAAUACCACUCUCUUCCUUCUUCCUCACCUUCAAAAACUCAACCUUGCCUACAAUUAUUUUAAUCUUUCCAAAAUUCCAUCCGAGUUCGGUCGGUUUAUAAGCCUAUUCUACCUCAACCUUUCCAAUACAGGGUUUGCAGGAGAAGUCCCAUCCCAAGUCUCCCACCUGUCAAAAUUGGUUUCACUUGAUCUCUCCUGUCGGGCUGAUGCACAAACAAUUGACAAACAUGCUCUGGAGGGACUUGUUCACAACCUAACCGAGGUCAGACAUCUGUUUUUGGAUGGAAUCAACAUGUCUUCUGUUAAUGCUCAUGUCUUCAUGAAUCUAUCCUCUUCUCUAAGGUCUCUCAGUCUUGCUUUUUGUGAUUUGCAAGGAAAAUUCCCAAAAAACAUUUUUGAUUUGCCAAACCUCAAUCUCCUCAACUUGGGAGGCAACCAAAACCUCAAUCUUGAUCCUUUGAAGUUCAAUCGGAGCAGCAAUCUUGAACAUUUGGAUCUGUCGUGGAUGUCCUCCUCUACAGAAAUUGAUUCAGUUGAUAAUCUACAGGCCUUAAAGUACUUAGAUCUAUCAGGAAAUUCUUUCUUUCAAGGAUUGUCUGUCUCAAUCACAAAUUUAUCAUCUUUGGAGUACUUGAUUCUUAGAGGCGCAAAUGUUUUUGGAGGAUUGCCUGACUUGACGGGGAAUCUUGUGUCCUUGAAGUUUUUAGAUCUCUCCCAGUCCAACUUAUCAGGACCGGUUCCAAGAUCACUGGGAACCUCUUGCAACUCACUCAUUUAGACUUGUCGCAGAACCAAUUGAGUGGACAAAUUCCAAGAUUAUUGGGGAACCUCUUUCAACUCACUCAUUUAGACUUGUCGUGGAACCAAUUGAGUGGACAAAUUCCAAGAUCAUUGGGGAACCUCUUGCAACUCACUCAUUUAGAUUUGUCGAUGAACCAAUUGAGUGGACAAAUUCCAAGAUCAUUGGGGAUCAUUGGGGAACAUCUUGCAACUCACUCAUUUACUUGUCGGUGAACCAAUUGAGUGGACAAAUUCCAAGAUCAUUGGGGAACCUCUUGCAACUCACUCAUUUAGACUUGUCGGUGAACCAAUUGAGUGGACAAAUUCCAAGAUCAUUGGGGAACCUCUUGCAACUCACUCAUUUAGACUUAUUGGUGAACCAAUUGAGCGGACAAAUUCCAAGAUCAUUGGGGAACCUCUUGCAACUCACUCAUUUACAGUUGCCGGUGAACCAAUUGAGUGGAAAAAUUCCAAGAUCAUUGGGGAACCUCUUGCAUCUCACUCAUUUACACUUGCCGAUGAACCAAUUGAGUGGACAAAUUCCAUUGUCAAUUCUAAACCUAACGCAGCUGGAAUACUUUGUAAUAUCUAAAAAUUCUUUAGAAGGUUCCAUUCCAGAUGAGGUAACCGCUUUUCCUAAUCUAAUAUAUUUACACUUAAAUGACAAUUUACUCAAUGGAACAUUUCCGUCAUGGUUGUUUACUGCUCCCUCCUUAAAGGAAAUAUAUCUCUCUCAAAAUCAAUUCAGUGGGCAUAUCAAAGAAUUCCAAUCCAAAUCACUAGAAUUGAUAGCGUUACAGAAUAAUAAACUCCAUGGUUCUCUUCCAUCUUCAAUAUUCCAACUUCUCAAUCUUACCGACCUCGUUUUAUCCUCAAAUAAUCUUAGUGGUGUCAUAGAGUUUCGCAUGUUCUCAAACCUUCCAAAUCUAAAACAUCUCGACCUUUCAUAUAACAGCCUAUCCUUAACAUCUAAUACUACUUCUACUGUUAAUCAUAUAUUGCCUAAUCUUACAGGCUUACUUUUGUCAUCUUGCAAUCUUGGUGAAUUCCCCCAAUUUUUAAAAGGGCUUAAAAGUUUGGAAAGCUUAGACCUCUCUUGCAACAAAAUUGAAGGCAAGAUUCCACAGUGGAUGCAAGAGGUGGGGAAUGUCUCUUUGACUUACUUAAACGUAUCUCACAACUCUUUGACGAAGUUGAGCACUUUCCAUGGAAGAAUAUUGAAUUUCUUGACUUAAGCUCCAAUUUGAUCAGUGGAAAUCUUCCGAUUCCAGCUUCGACCAUCAAUGUCUUUUUGAUCUCAAAUAAUAGUUUCAAUGGAGAGGUCUCUUCUUUAAUAUGCAAUGCCAGUUCUCUUCGAAUUCUUGAUUUGUCCCACAAUAACUUGAGUGGAACAAUUCCGCAAUGUUUUGGAAAUUUGAGCAACAGCCUUGAAUUCUUGAAUCUGAAGAAGAACAUGUUUUAUGGGACGAUUCCUCCAACAUUUGCAAAGGGAUGCCAAUGGAGUAAUUUCAACUUAAAUGGAAAUUUGUUAGAAGGGCCUUUGACACCAUCCAUCCUUAAUUGUAAUGGUCUGGAAGUGCUAGAUCUUGGUAACAACAAGAUCAAUGAUACAUUUCCUCAUUGGUUGGGAAAUCUUCCAUAUUUGCAAGUUCUUGUAUUGAAGUUAAAUCAUAUGCAUGAUUCCUUGCGUGUCAAUAGCUCCAAGUCUAGCCCUUUUUUCUCUAAAAUCCAAAUUUUUGACCUCUCAAGUAAUUAUUUUACUGGACCCCUACCAGUGAGAUACAUCAACAGCUUCAAGGCUAUCAUAAAUCUAGAGAAGAUUGGGAGUACAUUGUUGUACAUGGGGGUGUAUGAUCGGAUUGCUAGUGGCUUCUAUACCUAUUCCAUUGGAAUUGUUAUGAAAGGACAAGAUAUGGAAUUGGUGAAAAUUUUCACCAUGUGGAUGAUCAUUGAUCUAUCAAACAAUCAGUUUGAAGGGGGUAUUCCAAAGGUUAUUGGGAAGCUUAACUUACUGAAAGGGCUCAACCUUUCUCAUAAUAACCUUAAUGGUGGUAUCCCCACCUCAACAGGGAAUUUGACAAGUCUUGAAUGGUUAUGUAGUUUUAGAUGUUAAGGAUAGGCUGUUAUAUGAAAGGUCGCGAUGUUUUAGAUUUGGAAGGUUUGAGAACAUGCGAAGCUCUAUGACACCACUAAGAUUAUUUGAGGAUAAGCUGAGGGAGGUAAGAUUGAGAAGUUGGAAUAUUGAAGAUGGAAGAGGACCUUCGAGUUUAUUAUUUUCUAGAUCUAAAUAUUCUAGUGAUUUGGUUUGGAAUUCUUUGAUAUGACGGAAGUGUUCCAUUGAGUAAAUUGUCAAAUAACACUAAAUAUAUUAGAUUCGGAACAGCGGUUACCUCAUCUGGAAUAGAACCUUCUAAAGAAUUUUCAGAUAUUUCCAAGUAUUCCAACUGCGUUAGGUUUAGAAUUGACAAUGGAAUUUGUCCACUCAAUUUGUUUGAUCCCAAGUCUAAAUGAGUGAGUUGCAAGAGGUUUCCAAGUGAUCUUGGACCGGUCCUGAUAAGUUGGAAUCGGAGAGAACUAAAAACUUCAAGGACACAAGAUUCCCCAUCGAGUCAGGCAAUCCUCCAAAAAAAUUUGCGCCUCUAAUAAUCAAGUACUCCAAAGAUGAUAAAUUUGUGAUUGAGGCAGACAAUCCUUGAAAGAAAGAAUUUCCUGAUAGGUCUAGGUACUUUAAGGCCUGUAGAUUAUCAACCGAAUCAAUGAAUUCUGUAGAGAAGGACAUCCACGACAGAUCCAAAUGUUCGAGAUUGCUGCUCCGAUUGAACUUCAAAGUAUCAAGGUUGAGGUUUUGGUUACGUCCCAAGUUGAGGAGAUUGAGGUUUGGCAAAUCAAAAAUGUUUUUUGGGAAUUUUCCUUGCAAAUCACAACCAGCAAGACUGAGAGACCUUAGAGAAGAGGAUAGAUUCAUGAACACAUGAGCAUUAACAGAAGACAUGUUGAUUCCAUCCAAAAACAGGUGUCUGACCUCGGUUAGGUUGUGAACAAGUCCCUCCAGAGCAUAUUUGUCAAUUGUUUGUUCACCAAACACAGAGGAGGAGAGAUCAAGUGAAACCAAUUUUGACAGGUGGGAGACUUGGGAUGGGACUUCUCCUGCAAACCAUGUAUAAGAAAGCUUGUAAACCGACCGAACUCGGACCUAUCUUCAAACAUAUUAAAUACCCAUUCACUUCAAUUCUACUAUUCUUAAAUCAUUAAAGUUUUGUGGAAAAUAUGCUUCUUGGAUAAAAAUUAUUCAACACACAUGCCUUGAAUUUUAUGCAAUAAAAUAAAUCAAUAUAGGCCACACAUGCUUUGAAUUUUUAAGUAGUCCACAAUUUUGUUCGUUUGUGUGCAAGAUUCUACAUUGCUUGACAGCCAUACAUACUAAGUAAAUAGACACCCACAUUGUUUACGUAUUAUGAGGAAGAAGAUUAAGUCAAUCUACUUUGUAAUCUCAUCAAUCUUAAUUUUCUCAGUUGUUUAGGGAGUUCAAAUGAAAUACAAAAUUUUGGAAAAAAAAUGUAUCCAAUUUUGUGAAUGAAAAAUAUAUGGUAAAAAGGAUUUGGUAUGGAUACUUCGGCCCGGGUAUCAAUACUCAGAGUAAGUUAAAGCAUCAGUGGAUGAAGAAGGAUCUGGUUGGUGCAAAUGAAGUUAAAGCAUUUGUGCUGUGUCUUCAUAAUUUCUUGUUUAGUAGUCUGUCAGAAAGUUUUUCCUAUGGUGAAAAGUUGCAUUGGUAUGUGUCUGUUUUUAUGAUUGUACCAAUUCCUCUGUAUUUCAUUGCAUUUCGUACUAUUUGUAAGGGUUUAGUUCGAGUGUAACAUCUUGUAUGGUGCA
RNAcentral lists this long non-coding RNA (23016 nucleotides) under Gossypium barbadense (sea-island cotton). RNAcentral's name for it is "long non-coding RNA (GBAR_LNC022898)". The record is from RNAcentral. Lineage: Eukaryota; Viridiplantae; Streptophyta; Magnoliopsida; Malvales; Malvaceae.